RNAcentral lists this ribosomal RNA (253 nucleotides) under uncultured bacterium. RNAcentral describes it as "partial 16S ribosomal RNA". It matches the Rfam family "Bacterial small subunit ribosomal RNA", at positions 524 to 776 of the family's 1533-position model. The record is from RNAcentral.
AACGUAGGAGACGAACGUUAUCCGGGGUUACUGGGCGUAAAGGGCGUGUAGGCGGUUUGUUAAGUCUGGCGUGAAAGCUCUCGGCUAAACCGGGAGAGGUCGUUGGAUACUGGCGAACUCGAGGAUGGUAGAGGCGUGUGGAAUUCCGGGUGUAGUGGUGAAAUGCGUAGAGAUCCGGAGGAACACCAGUGGCGAAGGCGACACGCUGGGCCAUACCUGACGCUAAAGCGCGACAGCAUGGGGAGCAAACGGG